This 449-nucleotide ribosomal RNA is filed under the name uncultured bacterium. RNAcentral describes it as "partial 16S ribosomal RNA". It matches the Rfam family "Bacterial small subunit ribosomal RNA", at positions 29 to 523 of the family's 1533-position model. The record is from RNAcentral.
AACGAACGCUGGCGGCAGGCCUAACACAUGCAAGUCGAGCGAAGCCUUCGGGCUUAGCGGCGGACGGGUGAGUAACGCGUGGGAACGUGCCCUUUGGUACGGCAUAGCCCCGGGAAACUGGGAGUAAUACCGUAUGUGGUCGAGAGACGAAAGAUUUAUCGCCAAAGGAUCGGCCCGCGUUGGAUUAGGUAGUUGGUGGGGUAAUGGCCUACCAAGCCGACGAUCCAUAGCUGGUUUGAGAGGAUGAUCAGCCACAAUGGGACUGAGACACGGCCCAGAAUCCUACGGGAGGCAGCAGUGGGGAAUCUUAGACAAUGGGGGAAACCCUGAUCUAGCCAUGCCGCGUGAUCGAUGAAGGCCUUAGGGUUGUAAAGAUCUUUCAGUGGGGAAGAUAAUGACUGUACCCACAGAAGAAGCCCCGGCUAACUCCGUGCCAGCCGCCGCGGUAA